RNAcentral lists this ribosomal RNA (497 nucleotides) under uncultured bacterium. RNAcentral's name for it is "partial 16S ribosomal RNA". It matches the Rfam family "Bacterial small subunit ribosomal RNA", at positions 28 to 507 of the family's 1533-position model. The record is from RNAcentral.
GAUGAACGCUGGCGGCGUGCCUAAUACAUGCAAGUCGAGCGAACAGACGAGGAGCUUGCUCCUCUGACGUUAGCGGCGGACGGGUGGGUAGCACGUGGAUAACCUACCUAUAAGACUGGGAUAACUUCGGGAAACCGGAGCUAAUACCGGAUAACAUGUUGAACCGCAUGGUUCAACAGUGCAAGACGGUCUUGCUGUCACUUAUAGAUGGAUCCGCGCCGCAUUAGCUAGUUGGUAAGGUAACGGCUUACCAAGGCAACGAUGCGUAGCCGACCUGAGAGGGUGAUCGGCCACACUGGAACUGAGACACGGUCCAGACUCCUACGGGAGGCAGCAGUAGGGAAUCUUCCGCAAUGGGCGAAAGCCUGACGGAGCAACGCCGCGUGAGUGAUGAAGGUCUUCGGAUCGUAAAACUCUGUUAUUAGGAAAGAACAAAUGUGUAAGUAACUAUGCACGUCUUGACGGUACCUAAUCAGAAAGCCACGGCUAACUACGUG